GAUCCUGGCUCAGGAUGAACGCUAGCUACAGGCUUAACACAUGCAAGUCGAGGGGCAGCAGGAUCUAGCAAUAGAUUGCUGGCGUCCGGCGCACGGGUGAGUGACACGUAUCCAACCUGCCGAUAACUCGGGGAUAGCCUUUCGAAAGAAAGAUUAAUACCCGAUGGCAUAGUUCUUCCGCAUGGUAGAACUAUUAAAGAAUUUCGGUCAUCGAUGGGGAUGCGUUCCAUUAGGUUG
Molecule: ribosomal RNA, 237 nt
Filed under: uncultured bacterium
Lineage: Bacteria
Description: partial 16S ribosomal RNA
Rfam family: Bacterial small subunit ribosomal RNA
Source: RNAcentral